GAUGAAGAACGUAGCGAAAUGCGAUACGUAAUGUGAAUUGCAGAAUUCAGUGAAUCAUCGAAUCUUUGAACGCACAUUGCGCCUGCCAGCACUCUGGCAGGCAUGCCUGUUCGAGCGUCAUUUCAACCAUCAAGCCCUAGGCUUGCGUUGGAGCCCUGCGGCUGCCGCAGGCCCCUAAAAGCAGUGGCGGGCUCGCUAUCACACCGAGUGCAGUAGAUUACUCUUCGCUCAGGGCGUGUGGCGGGUUCCAGCCGUGAAACCCCCUACUUCUCAAGGUUGACCUCGGAUCAGGUAGGAAUACCCGCUGAACUUAAGCAUAUCAAUAAGCGGAA
This 332-nucleotide unclassified non-coding RNA is filed under the name soil metagenome. Its description in RNAcentral is "partial contains 5.8S ribosomal RNA, internal transcribed spacer 2, and large subunit ribosomal RNA". The stretch from base 1 to 120 matches the Rfam family "5.8S ribosomal RNA", at positions 35 to 154 of the family's 154-position model. The record is from RNAcentral.